RNAcentral lists this ribosomal RNA (341 nucleotides) under Pratylenchus penetrans. RNAcentral describes it as "partial large subunit ribosomal RNA". It matches the Rfam family "Eukaryotic large subunit ribosomal RNA", at positions 646 to 961 of the family's 3401-position model. The record is from RNAcentral. Lineage: Eukaryota; Metazoa; Nematoda; Chromadorea; Rhabditida; Pratylenchidae.
GACCCGUCUUGAAACACGGACCAAGGAGUUUAUCGUGUGCGCAAGUCAUUGGGUGUUGAAAACUCAAAGGCGCAAUGAAAGUAAAGAAUCCGCAAGGAUACGACGUGUGAUCUGAGCAAUCACGAUUGCCUGGAGCAACAUGGCCCCAUUCUGGUCGCUUGCGACGGGGUGGAGGAAGAGCGUACGCGGUGAGACCCGAAAGAUGGUGAACUAUUCCUGAGCAGGAUGAAGCCAGAGGAAACUCUGGUGGAAGUCCGAAGCGAUUCUGACGUGCAAAUCGAUCGUCUGACUUGGGUAUAGGGGCGAAAGACUAAUCGAACCAUCUAGUAGCUGGUUCCUUC